GAAAGUGACCUCCCAGGAGCGCUACUCUCCAGGCCAGAACUUGGGGGAGGCAGAGUCCGGGCCCCCCAGGAGCCAGCUCGGGUCUUCCGGGGAGGACAGCACUGGGAAGCCAGGCACGUGCAGCGUGUAGCCGCGCAAAGUUGUGAAUGCCGCUCAGCACCAACUCUUUAACUUGCAAGUCUGUUUAUGCUCACUCACGUUGGGGAGAUGGCUCAGGAUAAAGUACUUGCCAAACGAGUGUGAAGACCGGAGUCACAAUCCCAAGAGCCCAUGUAGACUAGAAACAGAAGCACGGGUCUGUGUUCCUGUGGGGAUAUUAGAGGCAAACAUGGGAAUGACACCCCCGAGCAAUGAGGAGCAACACUUGAGGCUGUCUUCUGACUUCCACAUGCUUGCAGUGAAAAAAUGAAAGACGCACCCACCCCCAGCGCAAAGAUGAAACAAAUUCCCUGGAAGGUGAUAUACCUCUGGGGAAAUGCUUUGAACAACCCCACUUCCACGCAGCACGCUGUUCAUCUCUAAGACCUUCUGCUAAGGCAUUAUCCUUCUGCUAGCAGUAAGAACAGCUCUUCCAGAAGCUAUGUUCUUUGCAGGAAACCCGUGAGUAUAUACAGGCAGAUUAAAGGUAAGUGGGUGAUACUAGAAGCAAAACAUGUGUCCUAAAUGCCCAUGUUGAGACUUACUUGCUAGAGUGAUAGCAUUAAGAGGUGAUUAAAUCACGAGGCUCUAUGCCCAUCAGAGGAAACAGUGAUUCUCUAAAAGGGCUAGAACAGUCAUCUCCUCCCUUACCCUGUGUGAAGUCAUGGUGUCCAAGUAGUGGCCUUGGGAACAGAGGCCCAAGUCCCAGUGCCUGA
This is a long non-coding RNA of Meriones unguiculatus (Mongolian gerbil), 854 nucleotides long. RefSeq lists it as uncharacterized. The transcript is spliced from 3 exons. The record is from RefSeq and is a predicted model, not a curated record. Lineage: Eukaryota; Metazoa; Chordata; Mammalia; Rodentia; Muridae.